ACGAACGCUGGCGGCAUGCCUCACACUUGCAAGUCGAACGAGACCUUCGGGUCUAGUGGCGCACGGGUGCGUAACGCGUGGGAACCUGCCCUUAGGUUCGGAAUAACUCCCCGAAAGGGGUGCUAAUACCGGAUAAUGUCUUCGGACCAAAGAUUUAUCGCCUUUGGAUGGGCCCGCGUUGGAUUAGCUAGUUGGUAGGGUAAAAGCCUACCAAGGCGACGAUCCAUAGCUGGUCUGAGAGGAUGAUCAGCCACACUGGGACUGAGACACGGCCCAGACUCCUACGGGAGGCAGCAGUGGGGAAUAUUGGACAAUGGGCGAAAGCCUGAUCCAGCAAUGCCGCGUGAGUGAUGAAGGCCUUAGGGUUGUAAAGCUCUUUUACCCGGGAUGAUAAUGACAGUACCGGGAGAAUAAGCUCCGGCUAACUCCGUG
RNAcentral lists this ribosomal RNA (432 nucleotides) under uncultured bacterium. RNAcentral describes it as "partial 16S ribosomal RNA". It matches the Rfam family "Bacterial small subunit ribosomal RNA", at positions 29 to 507 of the family's 1533-position model. The record is from RNAcentral.